RNAcentral lists this ribosomal RNA (499 nucleotides) under Mycobacterium sp. N094. RNAcentral describes it as "bacterial SSU rRNA". It matches the Rfam family "Bacterial small subunit ribosomal RNA", at positions 1 to 518 of the family's 1533-position model. The record is from RNAcentral. Lineage: Bacteria; Bacillati; Actinomycetota; Actinomycetes; Mycobacteriales; Mycobacteriaceae.
UGGAGAGUUUGAUCCUGGCUCAGGACGAACGCUGGCGGCGUGCUUAACACAUGCAAGUCGAACGGAAAGGCCCUUUCGGGGGUACUCGAGUGGCGAACGGGUGAGUAACACGUGGGUGAUCUGCCCUGCACUUUGGGAUAAGCCUGGGAAACUGGGUCUAAUACCGAAUAUUUCCUUUUGGUCGCAUGGCUGGGAGGGGAAAGCUUUUGCGGUGUGGGAUGGGCCCGCGGCCUAUCAGCUUGUUGGUGAGGUUAUGGCUUACCAAGGCGACGACGGGUAGCCGGCCUGAGAGGGUGACCGGCCACACUGGGACUGAGAUACGGCCCAGACUCCUACGGGAGGCAGCAGUGGGGAAUAUUGCACAAUGGGCGCAAGCCUGAUGCAGCGACGCCGCGUGGGGGAUGACGGCCUUCGGGUUGUAAACCUCUUUCAAUAGGGACGAAGCGUAAGUGACGGUACCUAUAGAAGAAGGACCGGCCAACUACGUGCCAGCAGCCGC